RNAcentral lists this ribosomal RNA (422 nucleotides) under uncultured bacterium. RNAcentral's name for it is "bacterial SSU rRNA". It matches the Rfam family "Bacterial small subunit ribosomal RNA", at positions 355 to 774 of the family's 1533-position model. The record is from RNAcentral.
UGAGGAAUAUUGGACAAUGGAUGGAAAUCUGAUCCAGCCAUGCCGCGUGCAGGAAGACGGCCCUAUGGGUUGUAAACUGCUUUUGUAUGGGAGCAAUAAGGACUACGUGCAGUUUGAUGAGAGUACCAUACGAAUAAGCAUCGGCUAACUCCGUGCCAGCAGCCGCGGUAAUACGUAGGGUGCAAGCGUUAAUCGGAAUUACUGGGCGUAAAGCGUGCGCAGGCGGUUCGGAAAGAAAGGUGUGAAAUCCCAGGGCUUAACCUUGGAACUGCACUUUUAACGACCGGGCUAGAGUACGUCAGAGGGGGGUAUAAUUCCACGUGUAGCAGUGAAAUGCGUAGAUAUUACUUAGAACACCAAUUGCGAAGGCAGGUUACCAAGAUAUAACUGACGCUGAGGGACGAAAGCGUGGGGAGCGAACA